Herpailurus yagouaroundi (jaguarundi) is the source of this 435-nucleotide long non-coding RNA. RefSeq lists it as uncharacterized. The transcript is spliced from 2 exons. The record is from RefSeq and is a predicted model, not a curated record. Lineage: Eukaryota; Metazoa; Chordata; Mammalia; Carnivora; Felidae.
CAUAAACCUUGUGGACAUUCUGGAGCUGCCACUGGCUCUGAGCCCAGGCCCGGACCAGAGUCGUCUGUGGGGAGCCGUUCGUGGAUGAAGUGUGACAGGGUGAAACUGGAGUGGGUGGAACCUGCAUUUCCCACGGCGCCCAAGGAAGACGUGUCAGCCAAAAUGAGGAAAAGGGAGAAGUUACACUGGAGCUGUGUCUCCUUUAGCGGCUUUUCAGGCUUCUUCAGCAGGACCCACGGUGAGAAAGACAUUUUACCUGAGGGCGCGCACACACACACACACACACACACACACACUUGUGGGCAUCUACGCAGGACUAAAACAAAAGUUUUACAAACAAUACCAACCCUUCCUAGGUAUGAAGCCUCCUGCUAUUUUCUAUUGUAUUUUAUUUCAUUAAAAAAAAAAAAAAAGAUGCUGGUCACACCCACUCAA